UGAAGCAAAUAGUGACGAAUUUCCGAGUCAGAUUUUAAUACCUCCGCCAAAGAAACCAUAAUGUCGAAAGAAAGGAGCCGAACUGAGUCUUGGUCAUCAUUAGAAAGGGAGUUGAACAAUGGAAUGAAUUCGUCAAUAGCCUCCUGUUUAGUUACCAAAAAAACAAACUUGGCACAGUUCGUUGCUGCAGGACGACGGACCAUGGGAGCUUCGUCGUGACAUAGAUGACUAAAACUUUGACGAAGAGAGACUUUGACAGCAGGAUUUUCUGACUGAGAAUAUGCCGCGCAGUAAAGCCCAGCAGAGGACGCACGAGAGGUAAACCACUCAGCGGUUGAAAGACGUUGAACCAAUGGAACAAAAUAUUGCUCUAAUUGUUCUUGGGAUAGGCAAAUACAUACUUUAUUGAGAGAGUCAACGGCUUUAUCGCGGACUACCGUUUCUUCAGUUGCAGCAAGAUUUUCAAGGGGAGACAAAAGGACAUGCGCAUACUCAGGGCCUCCAACAUAAUCUACAAAAUUUCCUAACUGGUCGGCGAGAGCUGAUAGGACUUCGUCCU
Non-coding RNA from Schizosaccharomyces pombe (fission yeast), 559 nucleotides. Lineage: Eukaryota; Fungi; Ascomycota; Schizosaccharomycetes; Schizosaccharomycetales; Schizosaccharomycetaceae. The record is from the annotation of a GenBank genome assembly.